This 301-nucleotide ribosomal RNA is filed under the name uncultured bacterium. RNAcentral describes it as "partial 16S ribosomal RNA". It matches the Rfam family "Bacterial small subunit ribosomal RNA", at positions 509 to 807 of the family's 1533-position model. The record is from RNAcentral.
CAGCCGCCGCGGGAAUACGAAGGGGGCUAACGUUGCUCGGAAUGACUGGGCGUAAAGGGCGCGUAGGCGGCUUUGACAGUCAGAUGUGAAAUUCCUGGGCUUAACCUGGGGGCUGCAUUUGAGACGUCAAGACUAGAGUGUGAGAGAGGGUUGUGGAAUUCCCAGUGUAGAGGUGAAAUUCGUAGAUAUUGGGAAGAACACCGGUGGCGAAGGCGGCAACCUGGCUCAUUACUGACGCUGAGGCGCGAAAGCGUGGGGAGCAAACAGGAUUAGAUACCCCCGUAGUCCCUGUCUCUUAUAC